CUGUCUCUGCUCCACACCUUGUCCCUGUAUUUCCUCCUGUGAGUGUUUUGUGACUCACUUCUGUCUCUUGAACUCCAGGGAUCAGGAUGUGGAACCUGGUGCUCCAUCCAUGGGAGCCAAAAGCCUUUGCAUUCCUUUCAACCCUCUGUGUGAGCUGCAGCCAGGAGCCAUGUGUGUCUGUGGCAAGAAUCCUGCCAAGUUCUACACCUUGUUUGGUCGGAGUUACUGAUGGAUGAAACAGAAGCCUCUCCCGUCCUUUUUUUAAAACCAAUGAUACUAAGAUCUCAGAUACAGUUUUUCUUUUUCAUUUUUUAAAACUUCUAAAAAGGUCACAAAAUAAACAGCUAUUCUUAUGCCCAAAUUAACAGUGGAAAAUACUUUUCUGUAAACAGCCAGGGUAAUAAAAACCAUGAACUAAUUGU
This 422-nucleotide long non-coding RNA is filed under the name Rattus norvegicus (Norway rat). RNAcentral describes it as "long non-coding RNA NONRATT008542". The record is from RNAcentral. Lineage: Eukaryota; Metazoa; Chordata; Mammalia; Rodentia; Muridae.